Molecule: ribosomal RNA, 433 nt
Filed under: uncultured bacterium
Lineage: Bacteria
Description: bacterial SSU rRNA
Rfam family: Bacterial small subunit ribosomal RNA
Source: RNAcentral
AACGCGAAGAACCUUACCAGGUCUUGACAUCCUCUGACAACCCUAGAGAUAGGGCUUCUCCUUCGGGAGCAGAGUGACAGGUGGUGCAUGGUUGUCGUCAGCUCGUGUCGUGAGAUGUUGGGUUAAGUCCCGCAACGAGCGCAACCCUUGAUCUUAGUUGCCAUCAUUUAGUUGGGCACUCUAAGGUGACUGCCGGUGACAAACCGGAGGAAGGUGGGGAUGACGUCAAAUCAUCAUGCCCCUUAUGACCUGGGUUACACACGUGCUACAAUGGACGGUACAAAGAGCUGCAAGACCGCGAGGUGGAGCUAAUCUCAUAAAACCGUUCUCAGUUCGGAUUGUAGGCUGCAACUCGCCUACAUGAAGCUGGAAUCGCUAGUAAUCGCGGAUCAGCAUGCCGCGGUGAAUACGUUCCCGGGCCUUGUACACACCG